CUAAGUUUCAACAGCGGAUCUCUUGGCUCUCGACAUCGAAUGAAGAA
This 47-nucleotide ribosomal RNA is filed under the name uncultured fungus. RNAcentral describes it as "partial 5.8S ribosomal RNA". Lineage: Eukaryota; Fungi. The record is from RNAcentral.